RNAcentral lists this ribosomal RNA (2758 nucleotides) under Klebsiella pneumoniae. RNAcentral describes it as "partial 23S ribosomal RNA". It matches the Rfam family "Bacterial large subunit ribosomal RNA". The record is from RNAcentral. Lineage: Bacteria; Pseudomonadati; Pseudomonadota; Gammaproteobacteria; Enterobacterales; Enterobacteriaceae.
CACUAUCGUUAACUGAAUACAUAGGUUAACGAGGCGAACCGGGGGAACUGAAACAUCUAAGUACCCCGAGGAAAAGAAAUCAACCGAGAUUCCCCCAGUAGCGGCGAGCGAACGGGGAGCAGCCCAGAGUCUGAAUCAGCUUGUGUGUUAGUGGAACGGUCUGGAAAGUCCGACGGUACAGGGUGAUAGUCCCGUACACCAAAAUGCACAGGCUGUGAACUCGAAGAGUAGGGCGGGACACGUGGUAUCCUGUCUGAAUAUGGGGGGACCAUCCUCCAAGGCUAAAUACUCCUGACUGACCGAUAGUGAACCAGUACCGUGAGGGAAAGGCGAAAAGAACCCCGGCGAGGGGAGUGAAAAAGAACCUGAAACCGUGUACGUACAAGCAGUGGGAGCACCUUCGGGUGUGACUGCGUACCUUUUGUAUAAUGGGUCAGCGACUUAUAUUCUGUAGCAAGGUUAACCGUAUAGGGGAGCCGCAGGGAAACCGAGUCUUAACUGGGCGUUAAGUUGCAGGGUAUAGACCCGAAACCCGGUGAUCUAGCCAUGGGCAGGUUGAAGGUUGGGUAACACUAACUGGAGGACCGAACCGACUAAUGUUGAAAAAUUAGCGGAUGACUUGUGGCUGGGGGUGAAAGGCCAAUCAAACCGGGAGAUAGCUGGUUCUCCCCGAAAGCUAUUUAGGUAGCGCCUCGUGAAUUCAUCUUCGGGGGUAGAGCACUGUUUCGGCUAGGGGGUCAUCCCGACUUACCAACCCGAUGCAAACUACGAAUACCGAAGAAUGUUAUCACGGGAGACACACGGCGGGUGCUAACGUCCGUCGUGAAGAGGGAAACAACCCAGACCGCCAGCUAAGGUCCCAAAGUCAUGGUUAAGUGGGAAACGAUGUGGGAAGGCACAGACAGCCAGGAUGUUGGCUUAGAAGCAGCCAUCAUUUAAAGAAAGCGUAAUAGCUCACUGGUCGAGUCGGCCUGCGCGGAAGAUGUAACGGGGCUAAACCAUGCACCGAAGCUGCGGCAGCGACACUAUGUGUUGUUGGGUAGGGGAGCGUUCUGUAAGCCUGCGAAGGUGUGCUGUGAGGCAUGCUGGAGGUAUCAGAAGUGCGAAUGCUGACAUAAGUAACGAUAAAGCGGGUGAAAAGCCCGCUCGCCGGAAGACCAAGGGUUCCUGUCCAACGUUAAUCGGGGCAGGGUGAGUCGACCCCUAAGGCGAGGCCGAAAGGCGUAGUCGAUGGGAAACAGGUUAAUAUUCCUGUACUUGGUGUUACUGCGAAGGGGGGACGGAGAAGGCUAUGUUAGCCGGGCGACGGUUGUCCCGGUUUAAGCAUGUAGGCUGAUUAUCCAGGCAAAUCCGGAUAAUCAAGGCUGAGGUGUGAUGACGAGGCACUACGGUGCUGAAGUAACAAAUGCCCUGCUUCCAGGAAAAGCCUCUAAGCAUCAGGUAACAUCAAAUCGUACCCCAAACCGACACAGGUGGUCAGGUAGAGAAUACCAAGGCGCUUGAGAGAACUCGGGUGAAGGAACUAGGCAAAAUGGUGCCGUAACUUCGGGAGAAGGCACGCUGGUGUGUAGGUGAAGUCCCUGCGGAUGGAGCUGAGACCAGUCGAAGAUACCAGCUGGCUGCAACUGUUUAUUAAAAACACAGCACUGUGCAAACACGAAAGUGGACGUAUACGGUGUGACGCCUGCCCGGUGCCGGAAGGUUAAUUGAUGGGGUUAUCCGUAAGGAGAAGCUCUUGAUCGAAGCCCCGGUAAACGGCGGCCGUAACUAUAACGGUCCUAAGGUAGCGAAAUUCCUUGUCGGGUAAGUUCCGACCUGCACGAAUGGCGUAAUGAUGGCCAGGCUGUCUCCACCCGAGACUCAGUGAAAUUGAACUCGCUGUGAAGAUGCAGUGUACCCGCGGCAAGACGGAAAGACCCCGUGAACCUUUACUAUAGCUUGACACUGAACAUUGAGCCUUGAUGUGUAGGAUAGGUGGGAGGCUUUGAAGCGUGGACGCCAGUCUGCGUGGAGCCAACCUUGAAAUACCACCCUUUAAUGUUUGAUGUUCUAACGUUGGCCCCUUACCGGGGUUGCGGACAGUGUCUGGUGGGUAGUUUGACUGGGGCGGUCUCCUCCCAAAGCGUAACGGAGGAGCACGAAGGUUAGCUAAUCCUGGUCGGACAUCAGGAGGUUAGUGCAAUGGCAUAAGCUAGCUUGACUGCGAGCGUGACGGCGCGAGCAGGUGCGAAAGCAGGUCAUAGUGAUCCGGUGGUUCUGAAUGGAAGGGCCAUCGCUCAACGGAUAAAAGGUACUCCGGGGAUAACAGGCUGAUACCGCCCAAGAGUUCAUAUCGACGGCGGUGUUUGGCACCUCGAUGUCGGCUCAUCACAUCCUGGGGCUGAAGUAGGUCCCAAGGGUAUGGCUGUUCGCCAUUUAAAGUGGUACGCGAGCUGGGUUUAGAACGUCGUGAGACAGUUCGGUCCCUAUCUGCCGUGGGCGCUGGAGAAUUGAGGGGGGCUGCUCCUAGUACGAGAGGACCGGAGUGGACGCAUCACUGGUGUUCGGGUUGUCAUGCCAAUGGCACUGCCCGGUAGCUAAAUGCGGAAGAGAUAAGUGCUGAAAGCAUCUAAGCACGAAACUUGCCCCGAGAUGAGUUCUCCCUGAGACUUUAAGUCUCCUGAAGGAACGUUAAAGACGAUGACGUUGAUAGGCCGGGUGUGUAAGCGCAGCGAUGCGUUGAGCUAACCGGUACUAAUGAACCGUGAGGCUUAACCUU